CGAAUCUUAUAUUUUCUUUCUUUUCCAUAUUUAAAAAGUCUACUUCCUUUUGUACUUAGGAUAUUUGCAUAGUUUUAUUGCUUUUCUUUGUAAUGAUACAUGUUUAACUCACUAUUUUUCCACAGAAUAGACAUCUUGUUAACCUGAUCUCAGAAUUCAAAGUUGAAUUAUAUGAUUGAUGAUCACCUUAAAAUGUAUAUAUUAAAACUUUGUGGUGUGCAUACAUUGAAUUUUCAGCAGGUCAUGGUUGGUGGUAAACUGCAUAUUUGGAAGGAAAGGGUUAUGGUGCUCUUUUAAAAUUUUUUAUAAAAAAAUAGGAAAGGUCCUGGCCAUCCAUU
RNAcentral lists this long non-coding RNA (338 nucleotides) under Elaeis guineensis (African oil palm). Its description in RNAcentral is "long non-coding RNA (EGUI_LNC042083)". Lineage: Eukaryota; Viridiplantae; Streptophyta; Magnoliopsida; Arecales; Arecaceae. The record is from RNAcentral.